GGCGAGGCCGAAAGGCGUAGUCGAUGGGAAACAGGUUAAUAUUCCUGUACUUGGUGUUACUGCGAAGGGGGGACGGAGAAGGCUAUGUUGGCCGGGCGACGGUUGUCCCGGUUUAAGCGUGUAGGCUGGUUUUCCAGGCAAAUCCGGAAAAUCAAGGCUGAGGCGUGAUGACGAGGCACUACGGUGCUGAAGCAACAAAUGCCCUGCUUCCAGGAAAAGCCUCUAAGCAUCAGGUAACAUCAAAUCGUACCCCAAACCGACACAGGUGGUCAGGUAGAGAAUACCAAGGCGCUUGAGAGAACUCGGGUGAAGGAACUAGGCAAAAUGGUGCCGUAACUUCGGGAGAAGGCACGCUGAUAUGUAGGUGAAGUCCCUCGCGGAUGGAGCUGAAAUCAGUCGAAGAUACCAGCUGGCUGCAACUGUUUAUUAAAAACACAGCACUGUGCAAACACGAAAGUGGACGUAUACGGUGUGACGCCUGCCCGGUGCCGGAAGGUUAAUUGAUGGGGUUAGCCGCAAGGCGAAGCUCUUGAUCGAAGCCCCGGUAAACGGCGGCCGUAACUAUAACGGUCCUAAGGUAGCGAAAUUCCUUGUCGGGUAAGUUCCGACCUGCACGAAUGGCGUAAUGAUGGCCAGGCUGUCUCCACCCGAGACUCAGUGAAAUUGAACUCGCUGUGAAGAUGCAGUGUACCCGCGGCAAGACGGAAAGACCCCGUGAACCUUUACUAUAGCUUGACACUGAACAUUGAGCCUUGAUGUGUAGGAUAGGUGGGAGGCUUGGAAGUGUGGACGCCAGUCUGCAUGGAGCCGACCUUGAAAUACCACCCUUUAAUGUUUGAUGUUCUAACGUUGACCCGUAAUCCGGGUUGCGGACAGUGUCUGGUGGGUAGUUUGACUGGGGCGGUCUCCUCCUAAAGAGUAACGGAGGAGCACGAAGGUUGGCUAAUCCUGGUCGGACAUCAGGAGGUUAGUGCAAUGGCAUAAGCCAGCUUGACUGCGAGCGUGACGGCGCGAGCAGGUGCGAAAGCAGGUCAUAGUGAUCCGGUGGUUCUGAAUGGAAGGGCCAUCGCUCAACGGAUAAAAGGUACUCCGGGGAUAACAGGCUGAUACCGCCCAAGAGUUCAUAUCGACGGCGGUGUUUGGCACCUCGAUGUCGGCUCAUCACAUCCUGGGGCUGAAGUAGGUCCCAAGGGUAUGGCUGUUCGCCAUUUAAAGUGGUACGCGAGCUGGGUUUAGAACGUCGUGAGACAGUUCGGUCCCUAUCUGCCGUGGGCGCUGGAGAACUGAGGGGGCUGCUCCUAGUACGAGAGGACCGGAGUGGACGCAUCACUGGUGUUCGGGUUGUCAUGCCAAUGGCACUGCCCGGUAGCUAAAUGCGGAAGAGAUAAGUGCUGAAAGCAUCUAAGCACGAAACUUGCCCCGAGAUGAGUUCUCCCUGACUCCUUGAGAGUCCUGAAGGAACGUUGAAGACGACGACGUUGAUAGGCCGGGUGUGUAAGCGCAGCGAUGCGUUGAGCUAACCGGUACUAAUGAACCGUGAGGCUUAACCUU
RNAcentral lists this ribosomal RNA (1551 nucleotides) under Escherichia coli P0305260.1. RNAcentral's name for it is "bacterial LSU rRNA". It matches the Rfam family "Bacterial large subunit ribosomal RNA", at positions 1395 to 2925 of the family's 2925-position model. The record is from RNAcentral. Lineage: Bacteria; Pseudomonadati; Pseudomonadota; Gammaproteobacteria; Enterobacterales; Enterobacteriaceae.